UCCUGGUUAGCUUAGUUGGUAGAGCGCUUCACUUGAAAUGGACAAGUCCCUGGUUCGAUACCAGGGCCACGCA
This 73-nucleotide transfer RNA is filed under the name Ixodes scapularis (black-legged tick). It matches the Rfam family "tRNA". Rfam says of the family: Transfer RNA (tRNA) molecules are approximately 80 nucleotides in length. The record is from Rfam by way of RNAcentral. Lineage: Eukaryota; Metazoa; Arthropoda; Arachnida; Ixodida; Ixodidae.